GAGCCUUCCCAGUUUUUUAACUCCUCUGUUGGCUGUAUGGCCUAAUUGGCACUUAAUCAUUAGUUUUCCAGCAUAACUGAUAAGUUAGAAUUUUAAGGUUAAAUGUGAUAAAUCGGUACAGAAUGAUGUUUGUUCCGUUGAUGUCCAUCAGGUUGCUGCAAAACAUUGAAACAAGGCCUGAUCCUCUUCUGCCACUAACAAACGGACCAGUCAACACAUCAUGGGAUCGAUGGUUUGAAGGGCCCCAGGAGUCAAAAGGUUGCAGAUGCAGAAUACUUUGAUUUGUCGAGUUCUAACAUUUACUGCAAUUUGUUGCAAGAGGGUUGUGAAUCUUCUGUACACAAGAUGUUGACUUACAGCGAGAUUGUUAUCUGAGAUUCGUUAACGAAUGUUUUCCACUGCGUGCAAUACGAGAGUCCUUAGAUGAUUCAAUUCUUUUACAUAUCCAAUCAGCUCGCAUUCAUGUAUGUAAGUCUGUAAAUCGAAUAUAUCUAUUGCAGAGAUUUGAUGCAUGUUAACCGGAAAUCUUAUCUGAUAUUGAGUUGAGUUUUUAUGUUUUCUA
Non-coding RNA from Carica papaya (papaya), 562 nucleotides. NCBI's taxonomy places the organism in Eukaryota, Viridiplantae, Streptophyta, Magnoliopsida, Brassicales, Caricaceae. The record is from RefSeq and is a predicted model, not a curated record.